This is a long non-coding RNA of Thalassophryne amazonica, 174 nucleotides long. RefSeq lists it as uncharacterized. Lineage: Eukaryota; Metazoa; Chordata; Actinopteri; Batrachoidiformes; Batrachoididae. The transcript has 3 exons. The record is from RefSeq and is a predicted model, not a curated record.
UGAAAAAGAGACCUUUUUGUACCAAGAGCGCCAUAAAUAACCUGCAAAUGAUCAAACUGACAACAAAAGAUAAAAUGAAGGUAAGAUUGGAAGCCUGAUAAAUACACCACCUCUAAUCCGGAUCCACUAUCUCCAUCCUCAGGCCACUUACAAACUCUCCCAACAUAUGUCAAA